This 492-nucleotide ribosomal RNA is filed under the name uncultured bacterium. RNAcentral describes it as "partial 16S ribosomal RNA". It matches the Rfam family "Bacterial small subunit ribosomal RNA", at positions 29 to 507 of the family's 1533-position model. The record is from RNAcentral.
AGUGGACGCUGGCGGUAGGCCUAACACAUGCAAGUCGAACGGCAGCACAGUAAGAGCUUGCUCUUACGGGUGGCGAGUGGCGGACGGGUGAGGAAUACAUCGGAAUCUACUUUUUCGUGGGGGAUAACGUAGGGAAACUUACGCUAAUACCGCAUACGACCUACGGGUGAAAGCAGGGGAUCUUCGGACCUUGCGCGAUUGAAUGAGCCGAUGUCGGAUUAGCUAGUCGGCGGGGUAAAGGCCCACCAAGGCGACGAUCCGUAGCUGGUCUGAGAGGAUGAUCAGCCACACUGGAACUGAGACACGGUCCAGACUCCUACGGGAGGCAGCAGUGGGGAAUAUUGGACAAUGGGCGCAAGCCUGAUCCAGCCAUACCGCGUGGGUGAAGAAGGCCUUCGGGUUGUAAAGCCCUUUUGUUGGGAAAGAAAAGCAGCAGGUUAAUACCCCGCUGUUCUGACGGUACCCAAAGAAUAAGCACCGGCUAACUUCGUG